Molecule: long non-coding RNA, 944 nt
Filed under: Homo sapiens (human)
Lineage: Eukaryota; Metazoa; Chordata; Mammalia; Primates; Hominidae
Description: HSALNT0368188
Source: RNAcentral
UCCAGCUACUCAGGAGGCUGAGGCAGGAGAAUCUCUUGAACCCAGAAGGCGAAGGUUGCAGUGAACCGAGAUCAUGCCAUUGUACUCUAGCCUGGGUGACAAGAGCAAGACUCCGUCUCAAAAAAAAAAAAAAAAAAAAAAAGAAGUAGAGACAGGGAGACAGGGUCUCACUGUGUUGCCUAGGCCGGUCUUGAACUCCUGGGCUCAAGUGAUUCUCCCACCUUGACCUCCUAAAUUGUUGGGAUUACAGGUGUGAGACAGUGCACCUGGCCGAAAUAGCUCAAGUUUCUGAAAAACAAAUCUGAAUCUAUUUGUUAUUCUUAGCGUCACUGGUCUGGCUUUCAGAAUUAACAUACAAGGUUGCCACACCUAGUUCUGCCCAGCUUUAUGUCUUUUAUUCCAGUAUUCCACCAAAGUUUGUUUUCCUGCAUUCCAGUUCUCAAGUCUUAAGAUAAAGAUUGUACUUGACAGUUUAGUAUAUCCAUAAAACUAUUUGAGGUGGUUAAGGUUCUUGGGUUCAUUUUCCUUAAUACUUUGCUGAAUAUUGUAGAUUGUAGGCAAUGAAAAAGUCUACUAAAUUAGGAAAACCUUGAAUAAUUAGGUAUCCUAGGUAAGAGCCCCUAAACAUCAAGCAAUCUGUGAGUCUGUAAAGAAAUAAAUAUUUUUUGGAUUAUUCUUAUCUAAUUCCACCCCUGUUGGAAGAUGAUUUCUUUGUUCUUUGCAACUAUGGAAGCUGUGAAAAUCAUCACAAGUGCCUCUGAAAGCGAGUGUUAGGUUGGUUAGAGGGUUUAAUAUUUUCUGCAAUGGUUUGUAGGAAUUUUAAUAAAUGUAGUAUAUUUUCUGAGAUGAUUUUGUAAAAGUACUAUUUUAAAUAUCAAAUCAACCAAUAAAUUCACAUUUGUGUUAGGAACAGAAAUAUGGUUUAUAUCUUUGCUGGCUUGGUU